GACGAACGCUGGCGGCGUGCUUAACACAUGCAAGUCGAACGGAAAGGCCCUGCUUUUGUGGGGUGCUCGAGUGGCGAACGGGUGAGUAACACGUGAGUAACCUGCCCUUGACUUUGGGAUAACUUCAGGAAACUGGGGCUAAUACCGGAUUGGAGCUCCUGCUGCAUGGUGGGGGUUGGAAAGUUUCGGCGGUUGGGGAUGGACUCGCGGCUUAUCAGCUUGUUGGUGGGGUAGUGGCUUACCAAGGCUUUGACGGGUAGCCGGCCUGAGAGGGUGACCGGCCACAUUGGUACUGAGAUACGGCCCAGACUCCUACGGGAGGCAGCAGUGGGGAAUAUUGCACAAUGGGCGGAAGCCUGAUGCAGCAACGCCGCGUGCGGGAUGACGGCCUUCGGGUUGUAAACCGCUUUCGCCUGUGACGAAGCGUGAGUGACGGUAAUGGGUAAAGAAGCACCGGCUAACUACGUG
RNAcentral lists this ribosomal RNA (468 nucleotides) under uncultured bacterium. RNAcentral describes it as "partial 16S ribosomal RNA". It matches the Rfam family "Bacterial small subunit ribosomal RNA", at positions 28 to 507 of the family's 1533-position model. The record is from RNAcentral.